AUGCAAGUCGAGGGGUAGUUAUCUUCGGAUAAUGAGACCGGCGCACGGGUGCGUAACGCGUAUACAAUCUACCUUUUACAGAGGGAUAGCCCAGAGAAAUUUGGAUUAAUACCUCAUAGUAUUUUUUGAAUGGCAUCAUUUGAUUAUUAAAGUUCCAACGGUAAAAGAUGAGUAUGCGUCCCAUUAGCUAGAUGGUAAGGUAACGGCUUACCAUGGCAACGAUGGGUAGGGGUCCUGAGAGGGAGAUCCCCCACACUGGUACUGAGACACGGACCAGACUCC
RNAcentral lists this ribosomal RNA (282 nucleotides) under unidentified marine bacterioplankton. RNAcentral's name for it is "partial 16S ribosomal RNA". It matches the Rfam family "Bacterial small subunit ribosomal RNA", at positions 55 to 339 of the family's 1533-position model. The record is from RNAcentral.